Non-coding RNA from Vicia faba (fava bean), 315 nucleotides. The record is from the annotation of a GenBank genome assembly. NCBI's taxonomy places the organism in Eukaryota, Viridiplantae, Streptophyta, Magnoliopsida, Fabales, Fabaceae.
ACGAAAUUGCUAUCUCAUUCAACACACAGUUUAUUGAAAAAUGUUUCUCUUUCUCUUUCUUUCUCAUCCUCUCUCUCUCUUGUCUUCUCUUCUUCCUCUCUCUCCUGUCUUCUCUUCUUCCUCUUCGUCUGUUACAGAAACAACUUCAAAUAUCCACCACCUAAUAACGAUGCUGAUGCCUCAGAAAAUCGUCGAUGGCCUCUGAUUCAAAAUGUUUUGUUGUUCUAUUGUUCUUCCAUUGAUUUGAAGUGUGAAGGGGUGAAAAGAAGGAUUACAUAUGCAUCAAACCCGAAUGGAAUAGAAGAGAGUGUAUAA